RNAcentral lists this ribosomal RNA (809 nucleotides) under uncultured archaeon. RNAcentral describes it as "bacterial SSU rRNA". It matches the Rfam family "Archaeal small subunit ribosomal RNA", at positions 85 to 879 of the family's 1478-position model. The record is from RNAcentral.
ACUGCUCAGUAACACGUGGCUAAUCUGCCCUUGGGACGAGAACAACCCCGGGAAACUGGGGCUAAUUCUCGAUCGAUGAAGAACUCUGGAAUGAGUCUCCAUCUAAAAAGAUUCACGUUAUCCUCGUGAAUCCGCCCAAGGAUGAGGCCGCGACCGAUCAGGUUGUUGGCGAGGUAAUGGCUCACCAAGCCUUUUACCGGUGCGGGCCGUGGGAGCGGGAGCCCGGAGAUGGGUACUGAGACAAGGACCCAGGCCCUACGGGGCGCAGCAGUCGCGAAACCUUUGCAAUACACGAAAGUGUGACAGGGCUAUCCCGAGUGCCAUCCGCUGAGGAAGGCUUUUACCCAGUCUUGAACGCUGGGGGAAUAAGGAGAGGGCAAGUCUGGUGUCAGCCGCCGCGGUAAUACCAGCUCUCCGAGUGGUGUGGAUGUUUAUUGGGCCUAAAGCAUCCGUAGCUGGCUAAGUCAGUCCUUUGUUAAAUCCACCGAAUUAAUCGUUGGAUCGCGGGGGAUACUGCUUGGCUAGGGGACGAGAGAGGCAGACGGUAUUUUCGGGGUAGGGGUGAAAUCCUAUAAUCCCGGGAAGACCACCAGUGGCGAAGGCUGUCUGCUAGAACGCGCCCGACGGUGAGGGAUGAAAGCUGGGGGAGCGAACCGGAUUAGAUACCCGGGUAGUCCCAGCUGUAAACGAUGCAGACUAGGUGUUUGGACGGCCACGUGCCGUUCUAGUGCCGCAGGGAAGCUGUUAAGUCUGCCGCCUGGGGAGUACGAUCGCAAGAUUGAAACUUAAAGGAAUUGGCGGGGGAGCAC